UAAGAGAAAAUGGGUGCAAGCAGAGAACGCAUGAACAGCUACAGUAAAACUGGGAGGAGUUUAAUCUAGAACUUUUUGCAUCUACAUUUUUCUACUUUUAACGGCUUUUAUUUUCUCCCUACCUAAUGUUUCUACUCAUAGCUAUUUUAGAUUGAAGAAUUCUAAAUGAUUUUUUUCUCAUUGGUUUUGCAAGAUGACCUUUGUUGCAAGAUCCUUAAAAUUUUUGAAUACUGUGGUACUUUAAAAUAACAAAUGAUAUUGUUAUUGAAUAAGUUGGAAAUGCUGAAAGAAAGAAAAUGUCAUGCUCUUUAGAUUCAAGAUAUACUUUUUAAAAAGUUUCUGAAGGAUGAUUUUAAUUCCGUUAGUUCUGUAUCUAAGAAAAGUUAGCAAUCACCAUACAUUCAUCUUUUCAAGAUUUUGUUCACCUACAUUUCAGGUAAGCCAUGAAUCUAGCCCUAGGUAGACAUCUAUGUAAAAAUGGUGCCCAUUGCUAAAUCUGACAUGAAUCUGUUAAGUAUAUCUCUUGCCAAAAUGCAAAGUAGAAAGGAAAUCAGCUCACAGAUUGGAACAGUAUUGCAUACUGUAUAGUACAGGCCUUUGGAUGUACAGUUCCAGCCUUUCCCCAAAGUUAUGGCUUUCAUAUAUAAUGGUAUAAAAUAUUGGAGUCACAUAGUGCCCAUAUUGAAAAAGGCAAUAAGUUGCUUAAAUCCACAUUGUCUGAAGACCCAUUUCUUUAGCCGCAAACCUGCUUGAGCAUUACAAACUGUGGACAUGCCCCUUUUGACAAUGUCUACCCUGGAGAUGUACCCAUGUGGCACAAAGUACAAGGCCUUCUCCUGUGUCAUUCCCAAAGUAAGUAGCACAAUCCCAUAGGAGUUGCAUUGGUCACUCACUCCCCUUUCCUUUGGAAAUGUGCCCAAAAUAUGUAUUUUUUCCUGACUUGUAAUUGAUAAUUAAGGUUUGCAUUAGUUUUCAUUUCUGCCUCUGAAUUAUUUUUGUACUCUGCAUUUUACUGUUUGCUACCAUCCUUGGAUGCUCAGACUGAAAGAUGACAUGUUUGUACAUACGUGGACACACACACACACAUACAAAUAUAAAUCCCCCUCACGGCAAAAGGUUGAUCGUUGGGUAGCGUUAGAGUAGUAUUCUUGUCUCUUCCCUUCUGCUUUAAUUCCCUCCUCUGUAAAAUGGAAAACGGGAAGGCCCCAUUUCCCGGGACUUUUGCAAAGAUCACCGAGCAGCAGGAUUGUAAACGUUUCUCAGGCAACCUGGUUUCACACGUCUUUUUCAGGCUCCCUGUUGCAGAUUAAUCCUAGCCGGUUCCUUCAAGCAGGGCUCCUCCCCCUUCCCGUCUUCCCCCACCCCUAAAGCCGAUUGCACAAAGGCAUUUGUGGAAACAUCGAAGGAGGGCAAAGUGUAAAGUUUGGUCUUCAGGGCAUGCUAAGGAAAAGGAAAACUACAGGCAUCUGAAGCAAGAGACCCCACCCACUCUCCCCCCGCGGCCCUUGUCGGUACAGAGAAGCUACUUUUUCUGAUUAGUUGCAGAUUUGGCUUGAGUGCCAUGCCUUGCAUCAGAUAAGAACUUAAAAUGCAAAAAAGAAAAUAUAGAAGGUGAUUCAGCAUGGGGCUACUGACAGAACUGCUGGACAAAAACACCUCCAGUUUCACCUCCACUCCACUAUGAAGCAUCCUUGGACCUUUUUAAAAAUCCCUCAGUUUAAUCCUCCUCAUAAGAUGUUGUUGUGAGGAUAAAGUUGGAGAGGAAAGCGCCAUGUACACUGCUUUGCCUCCCAGAAGCAAGAUUAUAAAGAUAAUAGCGAAUUCCUUGGAUUUCUGACUUUGCAACUUCUUUGCCACUUUUCAGUAAUAACAAAGCAAUAAAUUUCAGUGAAACAUGA
Crotalus tigris (Tiger rattlesnake) is the source of this 1898-nucleotide long non-coding RNA. RefSeq lists it as uncharacterized. The transcript has 2 exons. The record is from RefSeq and is a predicted model, not a curated record. NCBI's taxonomy places the organism in Eukaryota, Metazoa, Chordata, Lepidosauria, Squamata, Viperidae.